GAGUAAGGCCCUGCAGCAACAGAGACUGCUAAUCUCUGCACCCGUGGUUAAACUCCACGGCUCACUCG
This 68-nucleotide transfer RNA is filed under the name Abramites hypselonotus (marbled headstander). Its description in RNAcentral is "tRNA-Ser". Lineage: Eukaryota; Metazoa; Chordata; Actinopteri; Characiformes; Anostomidae. The record is from RNAcentral.